Ictalurus punctatus (channel catfish) is the source of this 1136-nucleotide long non-coding RNA. NCBI's taxonomy places the organism in Eukaryota, Metazoa, Chordata, Actinopteri, Siluriformes, Ictaluridae. The record is from Ensembl.
ACACACACACACAACUGUAUGUUAUUCUAUAGCUGUUAUUCAGUACUUGCGCAUGUGUCAUGAAGUCACUCGGUAGCUAGCCUACAUAAAAAAACGUUACCAAAAAAAAAAAUAGAUCAUGAUAAAUCUGGUUUGUGAAAUACACUUUUUAUUGCGAAUCAAAUCAUCACGACUCUAAAACAGAUCAGACACGAUUUGUAAGUUGUUUUAACCCAAUAAGCUUUAGUCAUCGUGAUUUUUAUUAUUAUUAUUUUUAAUUGUACAUACACUCGGAAUUAUCGACUUGUCAGAAAUUAGACGCGUGUCGAUGGUUUUGUGGAAAAUUUUUGCGGUGACAGAAUCUAUUUCCUUCUCCGCAGAGAACCCGGCGAUAUUUUUGACGUGUCCGUGACGACAAUGCGUAAUGUCAUGAUGUAAUUUAUAACCGGGGGGGGUGGAUCGGGGGUUGUUGACACACGCCGGUAAUAUUUCGUCCUGUUCACAUUUCACACUUAUAAUCAUUUUCGAAACGUUCUUUCUUCUCUCUUGUACACAAGCGACCCCAGUUUUACCCCGGAAAUUGUACAGGGCAUGAUUUUAUUAUUUUUAAUUUUUUUUUAUUUUUCUUUCCAGAAAGACUCAGUUGUAUAUAUUUUGAACAGCUGUAUCAAAAAAAAAAUGUUUCCUGAAUAUUUUUCUUGUCUUGUAAAAUAUGUCGACCUUUUCCCCGGUGGUGUUUUUUUCCCCCUCCUCCGCUGUAUAGUAGGUCUCAACAGUUUUGGAAAAUGAAGCCUUUUGAAGUACACAGAGCGAUUAUAGGGUUUGGUAUUCAAGGAACUGAAUUUAGGAACAUUUACAGAAAAAAAUAAAAUAUUUUACAUCACUGGUGGUUGUUUACAGUGUGAAUGAAUUACGGGCCAACAGAAGCUGGCGUCACUCUCAACGACGUUAUCCCAAAGAGAAUGAAUUAAACAGCGUCUGUGUUUAAAAUACUAAAACCCCGCAUGGAAAUGUUCUAGAAUGUCGGUGAAAGCAUCUAAUGGUUUCCAUUUAAAAAAUACCAUUACAAACCAUUACCAUUAUUGGUUGAGAACGAUAUCCACUGGACAUAACAUGCCACCAACAGAAAGCAACAAAUUACCAAUAGAGCAAUUACC